This 901-nucleotide long non-coding RNA is filed under the name Phasianus colchicus (ring-necked pheasant). RNAcentral describes it as "lncRNA (ENSPCLG00000000859.1)". Lineage: Eukaryota; Metazoa; Chordata; Aves; Galliformes; Phasianidae. The record is from RNAcentral.
AAUGGCCUCAAGUUGCGCCAGGGUAAGUUUAGGCUGGAUAUCAGGAAAAACUUCUUUACAGAAAGGGUGAUUAAACAUUGGAAUAGGCUCCCCAGGGCGGUGGUUGAGUCACCAUCCCUGGUUGUGUUUAAAAACUGGAUGUGGUGUUCAGGGACAUGAUUUAGCAGAGGGUUGUUAAAGUAGUAUGGUUAGGUUGUGAUUGGUCUUGAUGAUCUUUAAGGUCUUUUCCAACCUGCGCAAUUCUAUGAUUCUGUGAUUCUUUGAAUUGUCUCUACCAAGGAGAGAUUUGAUUAUUGGUCCACUGUAGCUCAACAUUUUCCCUUCCCUUCCCUUCCCUUCCCUUCCCUUCCCUUCCCUUCCCUUCCCUUCCCUUCCCUUCCCUUCCCUUCCCUUCCCGUCUUCUACUUGAGCCUGUGUAAUUGUGAAAGUACAGCUGUAACUGAUGGUGAGGGGUGAGGGUGCCACUUGAUUGCUUAGAAGUAAUAACACACAAUUUCCUUCUUUUCUCAUGACAUCUUCUAAAUAGGUUUUCUCCUUUGUAACCCAAGUGAGGAGUAUCAGGCGAAAAUAUCAGUGGACAAGUACCCUGAGAUAUCUCUGUGUUAGACAUUUUACAUAUUCUCAGCAUUCAAGGUGAGAGUCAUCAGCAGACUAGCACUACAACUACAACAUUACUUAUGUACACAGCCAGAAGGAUCAAUAACAGUUAAUUUCACUACUAAAUACCGCACAGAUUCUACAAUACCUCAAAUUCAUGUCAAGAGGAAGACUGAGACUUUUGUACUCUGUGGUUUUAUAAUAGAAUCGUAAGUUGAUCAUGAAAAGAAAUUGCUUGUUAAGUAGCCAUUGGUUUUUCAGCCAGAGAUUUGGAAGAAAUUGGAAGCUCAGAGGCUCUGGAAGG